This 979-nucleotide ribosomal RNA is filed under the name Cortinarius atrolazulinus. Its description in RNAcentral is "eukaryotic LSU rRNA". It matches the Rfam family "Eukaryotic large subunit ribosomal RNA", at positions 1 to 964 of the family's 3401-position model. Lineage: Eukaryota; Fungi; Basidiomycota; Agaricomycetes; Agaricales; Cortinariaceae. The record is from RNAcentral.
GUGACCUCAAAUCAGGUAGGACUACCCGCUGAACUUAAGCAUAUCAAUAAGCGGAGGAAAAGAAACUAACAAGGAUUCCCCUAGUAACUGCGAGUGAAGCGGGAAAAGCUCAAAUUUAAAAUCUGUCAGUCUUUGGCUGACCGAGUUGUAAUCUAGAGAAGCGUUAUCCGCGCUGGACCGUGUACAAGUCUCCUGGAAUGGAGCGUCAUAGAGGGUGAGAAUCCCGUCUUUGACACGGACUGCCAGGGCUUUGUGAUGCGCUCUCAAAGAGUCGAGUUGUUUGGGAAUGCAGCUCAAAAUGGGUGGUAAAUUCCAUCUAAAGCUAAAUAUUGGCGAGAGACCGAUAGCGAACAAGUACCGUGAGGGAAAGAUGAAAAGAACUUUGGAAAGAGAGUUAAACAGUACGUGAAAUUGCUGAAAGGGAAACGCUUGAAGUCAGUCGCGUUGUCCAGGGAUCAACCUUGCUUUUGCUUGGUGUACUUUCUGGUUGACGGGUCAGCAUCAAUUUUGACUAUUGGAAAAAGAUCAAGGGAAUGUGGCAUCUUUGGAUGUGUUAUAGCCUUUGGUUGCAUACAAUGGUUGGGAUUGAGGAACUCAGCACGCCGCAAGGCCGGGUUUUUUAACCACGUACGUGCUUAGGAUGCUGGCAUAAUGGCUUUAAUCGACCCGUCUUGAAACACGGACCAAGGAGUCUAACAUGCCUGCGAGUGUUUGGGUGGAAAACCCGAGCGCGUAAUGAAAGUGAAAGUUGAGAUCCCUGUCGUGGGGAGCAUCGACGCCCGGACCAGACCUUUUGUGACGGCUCCGCGGUAGAGCAUGUAUGUUGGGACCCGAAAGAUGGUGAACUAUGCCUGAAUAGGGUGAAGCCAGAGGAAACUCUGGUGGAGGCUCGUAGCGAUUCUGACGUGCAAAUCGAUCGUCAAAUUUGGGUAUAGGGGCGAAAGACUAAUCGAACCAUCUAGUAGCUGGUUCCUGCCGA